CCUACGGGAGGCAGCAGUGAGGAAUAUUGGUCAAUGGACGAGAGUCUGAACCAGCCAAGUAGCGUGAAGGAUGACUGCCCUAUGGGUUGUAAACUUCUUUUAUAUGGGAAUAAAACGUUCCACGUGUGGGAUUUUGUAUGUACCAUAUGAAUAAGGAUCGGCUAACUCCGUGCCAGCAGCCGCGGUAAUACGGAGGAUCCGAGCGUUAUCCGGAUUUAUUGGGUUUAAAGGGCGCGUAGGUGGAUUGUUAAGUCAGUUGUGAAAGUUUGCGGCUCAACCGUAAAAUUGCAGUUGAAACUGGCAGUCUUGAGGACAGUAGAGGUGGGCGGAAUUCGUGGUGUAGCGGUGAAAUGCUUAGAUAUCACGAAGAACUCCGAUUGCGAAGGCAGUUCACUGGACUGCAACUGACACUGAGGCUCGAAAGUGUGGGUAUCAAACAGGAUUAGAUACCCUUGUAGUC
RNAcentral lists this ribosomal RNA (460 nucleotides) under uncultured bacterium. RNAcentral describes it as "partial 16S ribosomal RNA". It matches the Rfam family "Bacterial small subunit ribosomal RNA", at positions 338 to 795 of the family's 1533-position model. The record is from RNAcentral.